Pontibacillus marinus BH030004 = DSM 16465 is the source of this 110-nucleotide regulatory RNA element. It matches the Rfam family "PyrR binding site". Rfam says of the family: This family represents the PyrR binding site and terminator structure. This RNA structure is found upstream of a variety of genes involved in pyrimidine biosynthesis and transport. Lineage: Bacteria; Bacillati; Bacillota; Bacilli; Caryophanales; Bacillaceae. The record is from Rfam.
AAGACCUUUAAUUUAGUUCAGAGAAACUGAAAAGGUCGCUUAGAUAGGAAACGUGUAUCUUCGAGGAUACGUGUACCUCUUUGCGAGCUUUUCGCAAAGAGGUUUUUUUA